GCACAUAGCAAAUUCUGCCAAAAUGCCUUGCUAAAACUAUAAGGAAAUAAAUAAUGUUUUAAAAAAAUCCAUGAUGAAAACUGAAAUCCCAUAUAUUAACACCUUAUAAUACAAGAAUGAUUCCCAAAAUGUUUAGGUUAUGUGACAUUUUGAGGGUAAAAACUCAAAAAAAUAUGCAUUUCUGGAAAAGUUUUAAGGCUCUCAAAAUAUGGUAAAUAAAUAAAGCAUCUUUUUUGAAUAAUAAAGUCAUAUCUAUAAUGAAGUUCGUGCCAGCCCGUUUAUAUAAAAAAAAUUGGCCAGUAUCCACAACACAGCACAAACUUUUUUGUGUGUCAAAGAUUUGAGUCGUGUUGUAGUCGGUAUUUCCAAAUUUGUACCCUCAAUUUACAGUACUAAUCGAGGCCGAUCACAGGCCAUACCAUCUUAAUUAUGCAUUGAACAUGAAAUUUAAACCUUAAACUUGUUAUUCGUGGGUCACAUUGUUGGAUUGCAUCUAUUCGAUCACUUUUGUGGCCUGUUCUUGAAAAGCCGUAAUUACGUUGUUCCACUUCCUGUGCGGCAUCUUGUCGCGCAAUAAUAUAUAGUUGUAUUUUAGUAGAAAUGUGGAUUAAAGUGUUGUUGUACUUAUUUGUUAUAUGAUUUUGAUUCAUCAUAUUCCAAACCAUUGAAAUGUUUAUAUGUGGUGAAAUGUCAGUGUGAUUUAGAUAUAAAUAACAAUUCAAUUUCAUAAAUUUUCUUAUAGCGGAACUACUUCCGGAAUUGUGUGUCCGGUUGUGCUUCGGCUAUUGAUACAUCAACACGACGAGUAAACAUGAGGUUUCUUACAAAACCACGAUAUUAAUCAACGAUGCAGUAUUUAUGAAUAUAUAUAGUUUACUCCUUCACAAACUACAAGGACAGUCACACAGAGAACAAGAAAGACUGAAGGACAGAAAGUGAAAGCUGCAAAUCAAAAUCCAUCAGCUUAUGGCAACAGUGAUAUUCCUACAACUUCAAGGCAGGGGACAGUCACACAAAGAACAAAAAAGACUGAAGGACAGAAAGUGAAAGCAAGUCAGAAUCCAUCAUCUUAUGGCAACGGUGAUAAAACGAAUAUUCCUACAACUUCAAGAUCUCAAAGACUGCACCGAACCAAAUUUGUCGGGAGACGAAUAUCCCAUGAAUGGGUAGAAGAUGAGGGACACCGUAAAUGGUAUGAUGGGACUGUGAUGGGUGUGGAAUCUGGGAAGGAUGGUAGCCCUGAUGCUGUUUACGAAGUGAUGUAUGAUGGAGAUGAAGAGCUAUACAGCAUAGAUCAUCUGCAUACAGAUUUUCAGUCAGCAUCUGUUAAAUUUAUAGACCUCAUGUGAAUUCAGUUAUUUUGAAGAAAAUUAGAAACUUUUACAGAAAACAGUUUAUGGCAGGUAUUUCUUUAUUGCAUUAGUACUGACAGUUAUGCCAUAUACACCAAUAGAAAGAUAAUAAUUAGACGAACAUUUUCAUAUAUCACAUUCUGUACUUUUACACUGAUAUUAUAUAAUACAGUUUUUAAAAACUCAA
This is an RNA transcript of Pecten maximus, 1539 nucleotides long. RefSeq lists it as uncharacterized. The transcript has 5 exons. The record is from RefSeq and is a predicted model, not a curated record. NCBI's taxonomy places the organism in Eukaryota, Metazoa, Mollusca, Bivalvia, Pectinida, Pectinidae.